Molecule: ribosomal RNA, 284 nt
Filed under: Phocaeicola plebeius DSM 17135
Lineage: Bacteria; Pseudomonadati; Bacteroidota; Bacteroidia; Bacteroidales; Bacteroidaceae
Description: partial 16S ribosomal RNA
Rfam family: Bacterial small subunit ribosomal RNA (bases 55-284)
Source: RNAcentral
UCUUUUCCUUUUUUUCCCUCCUCCUCUUUCCUCCUUCUUCUUCGCGCGUUCUCCGGCUUUCUUGGGUUUCCCGGGCGCGCAGACGGGUCGUUAAGUCAGCUGUGAAAGUUUGGGGCUCAACCUUAAAAUUGCAGUUGAUACUGGCGUCCUUGAGUGCGGUUGAGGUGUGCGGAAUUCGUGGUGUAGCGGUGAAAUGCUUAGAUAUCACGAAGAACGCCGAGGGCGAAGGCAGCACACGAAGCCGGAAAGGAAGGGAAGGAGAGAAAGGGGGGGGAGAAAACAGG